AGAAUCAACGCUGGCGGCGUGCCUAACACAUGCAAGUCGAACGCGAAAGCCCCGCAAGGGGCAAGUAGAGUGGCAAACGGGUGAGUAACACGUGGGUGAUCUACCUCAGAGUGGGGGAUAACGACCCGAAAGGGUCGCUAAUACCGCAUAACAUCCUGCCUUUGGAUAGGUGGAGAUCAAAGCUAGGGAUCGCAAGACCUGGCGCUUGGAGAGGAGCCCGCGGCCGAUUAGCUAGUUGGUGAGGUAACGGCUCACCAAGGCGACGAUCGGUAUCCGGCCUGAGAGGG
This 287-nucleotide ribosomal RNA is filed under the name uncultured soil bacterium. Its description in RNAcentral is "partial 16S ribosomal RNA". It matches the Rfam family "Bacterial small subunit ribosomal RNA", at positions 26 to 300 of the family's 1533-position model. The record is from RNAcentral.